Molecule: long non-coding RNA, 104 nt
Organism: Mustela erminea (ermine)
Lineage: Eukaryota; Metazoa; Chordata; Mammalia; Carnivora; Mustelidae
Exons: 4
Source: RefSeq, a predicted model, not a curated record
CAUCUUUUUGUACAAAAUAACAGGGGUGCAGAUCUGUGAAACGCCAGGUUUACACACUUCACAGCAUUCACCAUAGCAUAUACCCUCCCCAAUGUCCAUAACCA